GUCCCCAUCGUCUAGUGGUCUAGGACACCGGCCUUUCACGCCGGCAACGGGGGUUCGACUCCCCCUGGGGACG
Molecule: transfer RNA, 73 nt
Filed under: Candidatus Schekmanbacteria bacterium
Lineage: Bacteria; Candidatus Schekmaniibacteriota
Description: tRNA-Glu
Rfam family: tRNA
About the family: Transfer RNA (tRNA) molecules are approximately 80 nucleotides in length. Their secondary structure includes four short double-helical elements and three loops (D, anti-codon, and T loops).
Source: RNAcentral